RNAcentral lists this ribosomal RNA (18 nucleotides) under Habenaria intermedia. RNAcentral's name for it is "partial 26S ribosomal RNA". The record is from RNAcentral. Lineage: Eukaryota; Viridiplantae; Streptophyta; Magnoliopsida; Asparagales; Orchidaceae.
GCGACCCCAGGAUGGGUG